GUAACGCGUGGGAACGUACCCUUUGGUUCGGAAUAUUCUCGGGAAACUGAGAGCAAUACCGGAUAAGCCCUACGGGGGAAAGAUUUAUCGCCAAAGGAGCGGCCCGCGUCAGAUUAGGUAGUUGGUGGGGUAAAGGCCUACCAAGCCUACGAUCUGUAGCUGGUCUGAGAGGAUGAUCAGCCACACUGGGACUGAGACACGGCCCAGACUCCUACGGGAGGCAGCAGUGGGGAAUCUUGGACAAUGGGCGCAAGCCUGAUCCAGCCAUGCCGCGUGGAUGAUGAAGGCCUUAGGGUUGUAAAAUCCUUUCAACGGGGACGAUAAUGACGGUACCCGUAGAAGAAGCCCCGGCUAACUUCGUGCCAGCAGCCGCGGUAAUGCGAAGGGGGCUAGCGUUGCUCGGAAUUACUGGGCGUAAAGCGCACGUAGGCGGAUAUUUAAGUCGGAGGUGAAAGCCCAGGGCUCAACCCUGGAACUGCCCUCGAUACUGGGUAUCUGGACCAAAGUAGAGGUAAGUGGAAUUCCGAGUGUAGAGGUGAAAUUCGUAGAUAUUCGGAGGAACACCAGUGGCGAAGGCGACUUACUGGACUUUUGGUGACGCUGAGGUG
RNAcentral lists this ribosomal RNA (608 nucleotides) under uncultured bacterium. RNAcentral describes it as "bacterial SSU rRNA". It matches the Rfam family "Bacterial small subunit ribosomal RNA", at positions 110 to 753 of the family's 1533-position model. The record is from RNAcentral.